GACGAACGCUGGCGGCGUGCCUAAUACAUGCAAGUCGAACGAGAGCGACCGGUGCUUGCACUGGUCAAUCUAGUGGCGAACGGGUGAGUAACACGUGGGUAACUUGCCCAUCAGAGGGGGAUAACAUCCGGAAACGGAUGCUAAAACCGCAUAGGUCUUCGAGCCGCAUGGCUUGAAGAGGAAAAGAGGCGCAAGCUUCUGCUGAUGGAUGGACCCGCGGUGCAUUAGCUAGUUGGUGAGGUAACGGCUCACCAAGGCCGUGAUGCAUAGCCGACCUGAGAGGGUGAUCGGCCACAUUGGGACUGAGACACGGCCCAAACUCCUACGGGAGGCAGCAGUAGGGAAUCUUCCGCAAUGGACGCAAGUCUGACGGAGCAACGCCGCGUGAGUGAAGAAGGUUUUCGGAUCGUAAAACUCUGUUGUUAGAGAAGAACAAGUGCUAGAGUAACUGUUAGCGCCUUGACGGUAGCUAACCAGAAAGCCACGGCUAACUACGUG
RNAcentral lists this ribosomal RNA (498 nucleotides) under uncultured bacterium. RNAcentral describes it as "partial 16S ribosomal RNA". It matches the Rfam family "Bacterial small subunit ribosomal RNA", at positions 28 to 507 of the family's 1533-position model. The record is from RNAcentral.